Molecule: ribosomal RNA, 631 nt
Filed under: Cellulosimicrobium sp.
Lineage: Bacteria; Bacillati; Actinomycetota; Actinomycetes; Micrococcales; Promicromonosporaceae
Description: bacterial SSU rRNA
Rfam family: Bacterial small subunit ribosomal RNA
Source: RNAcentral
GGUCAGGGAUGGGCUCGCGGCCUAUCAGCUUGUUGGUGGGGUGAUGGCCUACCAAGGCGACGACGGGUAGCCGGCCUGAGAGGGCGACCGGCCACACUGGGACUGAGACACGGCCCAGACUCCUACGGGAGGCAGCAGUGGGGAAUAUUGCACAAUGGGCGAAAGCCUGAUGCAGCGACGCCGCGUGAGGGAUGAAGGCCUUCGGGUUGUAAACCUCUUUCAGCAGGGAAGAAGCGCAAGUGACGGUACCUGCAGAAGAAGCGCCGGCUAACUACGUGCCAGCAGCCGCGGUAAUACGUAGGGCGCAAGCGUUGUCCGGAAUUAUUGGGCGUAAAGAGCUCGUAGGCGGUUUGUCGCGUCUGGUGUGAAAACUCGAGGCUCAACCUCGAGCUUGCAUCGGGUACGGGCAGACUAGAGUGCGGUAGGGGAGACUGGAAUUCCUGGUGUAGCGGUGGAAUGCGCAGAUAUCAGGAGGAACACCGAUGGCGAAGGCAGGUCUCUGGGCCGCAACUGACGCUGAGGAGCGAAAGCAUGGGGAGCGAACAGGAUUAGAUACCCUGGUAGUCCAUGCCGUAAACGUUGGGCACUAGGUGUGGGGCUCAUUCCACGAGUUCCGUGCCGCAGCAAACGC